UCUGCUAAUUGUUCUCUAAUAGCACCUGCUCCUGUCGCAAUUUCCCGAUUUCGAAAUGUUGCAAAGCCUGGGGUAGAAAAAAAGGGAGAAAUGCUGUGGUUACAGGAUGCAAUUUCCUCUUCGAAUAAACCUCGUAAUCGUAAAAAAGUGGGUUUUUUAGUGCUGGGCCUAGCAAAAGAGAAAUCGCCGUAUACUAGGCCCUCCAACUUCUUAAGAGGUUUAUCUAAAAGAUUCGCGAUAUAA
RNAcentral lists this ribosomal RNA (243 nucleotides) under Triticum aestivum (bread wheat). Its description in RNAcentral is "partial small subunit ribosomal RNA". Lineage: Eukaryota; Viridiplantae; Streptophyta; Magnoliopsida; Poales; Poaceae. The record is from RNAcentral.